Molecule: non-coding RNA, 28 nt
Filed under: Mus musculus (house mouse)
Lineage: Eukaryota; Metazoa; Chordata; Mammalia; Rodentia; Muridae
Source: RNAcentral
UGUCAACCUUUGGUUUGCAUAUGCAUGC